UGUGUUCAUUAUACAUAGGAAAAGGAAAUACUAAAUUCACUAAUCAUGGAAAGAUGUUGGAGCAGUACCAUAGUAAGUUCUCUGUAUAGUCAAUUUGGAGUAUGACUUGCUUGUAAGUUCUCAUUAGAGGUCAUGUUUCUAGGGUGGAGGUUGCCAGCUAAAUGGCUAGCUCAUAGCUGCAAACCUACCCUGCUUGGCGUUUAGGGGUAGAUUUUAUUUGCUUCUGAAACAAAUGCAGACAACUGUAACCAAUCAGCUGUAGUGAAUGCGACAAUGUGUGCAUGUAUGACAUAUUUGCUUGUCUUAUUCAUCGGAGGGUCACAAUCAAUACUGUUGCUGAUGUAUGCAAGAAACUCUCAUUCGAUGCUUUGUCACAUUUCAUGGUUGUUGUUCCUGUUUUGUGCAAUCUUCUUCAGUAUGAGGACCAAAAGAUUGUUCCAAAUGUAGUUGUUUGAUUAUAAUAACGGAGGCAAUCAGCGACUCUCUUAAGAUGGUGGAUCAACUUUGCGAUCAGGAUUUAUCCAGCAAGUAAUACCUCUUACAGCCUUGGCUAGUCAAACCAGCUUCAACCAGUGAAUCUAUGGUCCUCUAAUUGGGCUUCUUUGGAGACUUGCAUCUGGUUCUGCUAUGGCUGUCAAGAUGCUUUUCAGCAAAAAGAAAGGUGCAUAUUGAAGAAUAAUUGAUCAAGCUAUGACACCUCACACAUCAAAGCCUCUUCCCUUGUGGGUGGUGAUGCAAACUCCAACCAGAAGGAUAUCUAAAGGAUCAACCUGAACUUCUGAGGCGUUUUGGUAGACAUAAUUCCUGCUUUGGCGGGGGUUGUAAAUGGUGAUGCAAAUCUACAAGCCUGUGAUGGAUGAGUUUAUGUAAUCUAUUCCAACUAAGCAUGCCAGUGCGCAUCUGUGCUUAAAGUGUUCAUUUCGUAAAGGAAGAGUGAGAUAUUUUUGUAAUGACUCUUUAGAUGCUGUGAUUAUUGAGACCGUUUCCUCUUUCAAUGCUGUUGAAAGAUAUUUGUGGCUCCAUGUCAACGCCAGGAGAAAUGACGCUCAGACAACAUCUGCUGUAGAUAUGCAAGCGAAUUAAAAGAUGUAUUGAUCCUUUUCUCCCUCUUGCACACUGACGCAAUUUUUUGAUUCUGCUGAAAACUGCAUUUUCUGUCCCUCUCUUUUAACGUAGACAGGUAACUCAUGAGAAAUUAUAUAUACAUCUACAACCUUCUCAGUUGGUGUCUUCAUUUUCCUAUUCCUCUGUUUUGCUUCUGCUGCCAAAGAACAUCAUGGAUCAUGUAGUGUUGAUGAUAGCCAUCAGAAGCUGAUAUUUUCUGUAGAUGGAAGAAAGCUGGAUCUAGCAAUUCCGUAAUUACAAGUGAAGGAAGAAAAUGAUGUGGCAAAAACUUUUGGUACGAAGUGUAUAGUAUACCAUUUAAGAAGGCUGCUGAAGUAAAGGCAAGUAGUACCGAGUCCACUGCUUUGUUGGAACUCAAAUUUCUAUUUUGCAAAGUUAUUCAGGGGAGGUUUACUCUGCUCUGGUCUGCUGACAGAACUUGCGUAUAAUCUGGAGAAGGCGGAUCCGCUGUACGAGAUUAUUUUGCUUCUGGAAAUUUUGGAGUCAUAUAUAAACAAGUUAACUUGUCAUCUGACGUCUCCAGAAAGAUAACAGCUCUAGCCCCUUCUAUUUCACAAGAAGACCAAAGUCUCAGCCAGAUAUCUAGGUACCAGACCCAUGAUAAUCUAGGUAAUGAUUGGCAGCUUGUGCGAGUUAACCCAACCUUCAGCAACAGUGAUUUAACCAUGGAAGAAGCUGAAAAAGUUUCGAUUGCAGAGAAUCCCAGCCACCCUGCUGCUGCUGGAGAUCAAUCAAGCUAUGCAGAUCACUCUAAAACUUUUUAUACUAGUGUCUCAAUUUUAUUUUGUUCUUCAAUUCCUUCUUCGAUUCACACUGAUAUUAUAAACUCUAGUGUUUCUUAUUGUUUAUUGCGUACAUUAAGUGAUUCUGAUAGUCUUAAGGUUGUUACUGUUUUCAACCCUCCCAAGUAUAAUCUGAGAUUUCAUC
Molecule: long non-coding RNA, 2052 nt
Organism: Papaver somniferum (opium poppy)
Lineage: Eukaryota; Viridiplantae; Streptophyta; Magnoliopsida; Ranunculales; Papaveraceae
Exons: 5
Source: RefSeq, a predicted model, not a curated record